Molecule: ribosomal RNA, 321 nt
Filed under: uncultured eukaryote
Lineage: Eukaryota
Description: partial 18S ribosomal RNA
Rfam family: Eukaryotic small subunit ribosomal RNA
Source: RNAcentral
CCCUUAGAUGUUCUGGGCUGCACGCGCGCUACACUGAUGCAGUCAACGAGUUUUUUCCUGACCCGGAAGGGCUGGGUAAUCUUUUGAAACUGCAUCGUGAUGGGGAUAGAUUAUUGCAAUUAUUAAUCUUCAACGAGGAAUUCCUAGUAAGUGCAAGUCAUCAGCUUGUACUGAUUACGUCCCUGCCCUUUGUACACACCGCCCGUCGCUCCUACCGAUUGAAUGAUCCGGUGAAUUAUUUGGACCGUGCAUGAUCCAGUUUGGAGACUGCGUGGAAAAUUUUGUGAACCUUAUCAUUUAGAGGAAGGAGAAGUCGUAACA